UUCCGGUUGAUCCUGCCGGAGGUUACUGCUAUCGGUGUUCGACUAAGCCAUGCGUGUCAAAUGUUCUUCGUGAACAUGGCGGACUGCUCAGUAACACGUGGAUAACCUGCCCUUAGGUUUGGCAUAACUCCGGGAAACUGGAGAUAAUUCCGAAUAGGUCAAAUAUGCUGGAAUGCUUUUUGGCCAAAAGACCUCGGUUGCCUAAGGAUGGAUCUGCGGUCUAUCAGGUUGUAGUGGGUGUAACGUACCUACUAGCCUACGACGGAUAUGGGUUGUGAGAGCAAGAGCCCAGAGAUGGAUUCUGAGACAUGAAUCCAGGCCCUACGGGGCGCAGCAGGCGCGAAAACUUUACAAUGCGGGAAACCGCGAUAAGGGGACACCGAGUGCCAGCAUUUAUGUUGGCUGUCCACAUGUGUAAACGGCAUGUGUUAGCAAGGGCCGGGCAAGACCGGUGCCAGCCGCCGCGGUAACACCGGCGGCCCGAGUGGUAAUCACUUUUAUUGGGUCUAAAGGGUCCGUAGCCGGUUUGAUCAGUUCUUCGGGAAAUCUGACAGCUCAACUGUUAGGCUUCCGGGGAAUACUGUCAGACUUGGGACCGGGAGAGGUAAGAGGUACUACAGGGGUAGGAGUGAAAUCUUGUAAUCCCUGUGGGACCACCAGUGGCGAAGGCGUCUUACCAGAACGGGUCCGACGGUGAGGGACGAAAGCUGGGGGCACGAACCGGAUUAGAUACCCGGGUAGUCCCAGCCGUAAACGAUGUUCGCUAGGUGUCAGGGGCGGUGCGACCGCUUCUGGUGCCGUAGGGAAGCCGUGAAGCGAACCACCUGGGAAGUACGGCCGCAAGGCUGAAACUUAAAGGAAUUGGCGGGGGAGCACUACAACGGGUGGAGCCUGCGGUUUAAUUGGAUUCAACGCCGGAA
RNAcentral lists this ribosomal RNA (920 nucleotides) under uncultured archaeon. Its description in RNAcentral is "bacterial SSU rRNA". It matches the Rfam family "Archaeal small subunit ribosomal RNA", at positions 1 to 923 of the family's 1478-position model. The record is from RNAcentral.